RNAcentral lists this ribosomal RNA (429 nucleotides) under uncultured prokaryote. RNAcentral's name for it is "bacterial SSU rRNA". It matches the Rfam family "Bacterial small subunit ribosomal RNA", at positions 355 to 776 of the family's 1533-position model. RNAcentral also lists the same sequence under 1 other name. The record is from RNAcentral.
UGGGGAAUCUUCCGCAAUGGACGAAAGUCUGACGGAGCAACGCCGCGUGAGUGAAGAAGGCCGAAAGGUUGUAAAGUUCUUUUGCUAGGGGAGAAUAAGUGUGGGAGGGAAUGCCUGCACGAUGACAAGGACUAGCGAAUAAGUCCCGGCCAACUACGUGCCAGCAGCCGCGGUAACACGUAGGGGGCGAGCGUUGUUCGGAAUUACUGGGCGUAAAGGGCAUGUAGGCGGCUUGGUAAGCCUGGCGUGAAAGUCUGCAGCUUAACUGUAGGGAUGCGUUGGGAACUGCUUAGCUUGAGUUACGGAGAGGGAGCUGGAAUUCCUGGUGUAGGGGUGAAAUCUGUAGAUAUCAGGAAGAACACCGAUGGCGAAGGCAAGCUUCUGGCCGACAACUGACGCUGAGGUGCGAAAGUGUGGGGAUCAAACAGG